This 1261-nucleotide ribosomal RNA is filed under the name metagenome. RNAcentral's name for it is "bacterial SSU rRNA". It matches the Rfam family "Bacterial small subunit ribosomal RNA", at positions 243 to 1520 of the family's 1533-position model. The record is from RNAcentral.
AGGUAGUUGGUGAGGUAACGGCCCACCAAGCCGACGAUCGGUAGCCGACCUGAGAGGGUGGUCGGCCACAUUGGGACUGAGACACGGCCCAAACUCCUACGGGAGGCAGCAGUGGGAAUAUUGGGCAAUGGGGGGAACCCUGACCCAGCAACGCCGCGUGGAGGAAGAAGGUUUUCGGAUCGUAAACUCCUGUCCUUGGAGACGAGUAGAAGACGGUAUCCAAGGAGGAAGCCCCGGCUAACUACGUGCCAGCAGCCGCGGUAAUACGUAGGGGGCAAGCGUUGUCCGGAAUAAUUGGGCGUAAAGGGCGCGUAGGCGGCUCGGUAAGUCUGGAGUGAAAGUCCUGCUUUUAAGGUGGGAAUUGCUUUGGAUACUGUCGGGCUUGAGUGCAGGAGAGGUUAGUGGAAUUCCCAGUGUAGCGGUGAAAUGCGUAGAGAUUGGGAGGAACACCAGUGGCGAAGGCGACUAACUGGACUGUAACUGACGCUGAGGCGCGAAAGUGUGGGGAGCAAACAGGAUUAGAUACCCUGGUAGUCCACACUGUAAACGAUGAAUGCUAGGUGUAGGGGGUAUCGACCCCUUCUGUGCCGCAGUCAACACAAUAAGCAUUCCGCCUGGGGAGUACGGCCGCAAGGUUGAAACUCAAAGGAAUUGACGGGGGCCCGCACAAGCAGCGGAGCAUGUGGUUUAAUUCGACGCAACGCGAAGAACCUUACCAGGUCUUGACAUCCACUUAAACUUACAGAGAUGUAAGGUGUGCUUGCACAAAGUGAGACAGGUGGUGCAUGGUUGUCGUCAGCUCGUGUCGUGAGAUGUUGGGUUAAGUCCCGCAACGAGCGCAACCCUUAUCUUCAGUUACUAACGCGUAGAGGUGAGGACUCUGAAGAGACUGCCGGGGACAACUCGGAGGAAGGUGGGGACGACGUCAAAUCAUCAUGCCCCUUAUGACCUGGGCUACACACGUGCUACAAUGGCCACGACAGAGAGAAGCGAAAUCGCAAGGUAGAGCGGAACUCAAAAAAGUGGUCCCAGUUCGGAUUGUGGGCUGCAACCCGCCCACAUGAAGUCGGAGUUGCUAGUAAUCGCGGAUCAGCAUGCCGCGGUGAAUACGUUCCCGGGCCUUGUACACACCGCCCGUCACACCAUGGGAGUUGGGAGUGCCCAAAGCCGGUGAGGCAACCGCAAGGAGCCAGCCGUCUAAGGCAAGACCAAUGACUUGGGUGAAGUCGUAACAAGGUAGCCGUAUCGGUAGGUGCGGCUG